GAUGAACGCUAGCGGCAGGCUUAACACAUGCAAGUCGAGGGGUAUUGGUUUUCGGACCAAGAGACCGGCGCACGGGUGCGUAACGCGUAUGCAAUCUACCUUUUGCGGAGGGAUAGCCCAGAGAAAUUUGGAUUAAUACCUCAUAGUAUAGUACUUUGGCAUCAAGGAACUAUUAAAGUCACAACGGCAAAAGAUGAGCAUGCGUCCAUUAGCUAGUUGGUAAGGUAACGGCUUACCAAGGCUACGAUGGGUAGGGGUCCUGAGAGGGAGAUCCCCCACACUGGUACUGAGACAUGGACCAGACUCCUACGGGAGGCAGCAGUGAGGAAUAUUGGACAAUGGGCGCAAGCCUGAUCCAGCCAUGCCGCGUGCAGGAUGGCGGUCCUAUGGAUUGUAAACUGCUUUAUACAGGAAGAAACACUCCGACGUGUCGGAGCUUGACGGUACUGUAAGAAUAAGGAUCGGCUAACUCCGUACAGCAGCCGCGGUAAAG
RNAcentral lists this ribosomal RNA (493 nucleotides) under uncultured bacterium. RNAcentral's name for it is "bacterial SSU rRNA". It matches the Rfam family "Bacterial small subunit ribosomal RNA", at positions 28 to 525 of the family's 1533-position model. The record is from RNAcentral.